UGGGGAAUAUUGGACAAUGGGGGCAACCCUGAUCCAGCAAUGCCGCGUGUGUGAAGAAGGCCUUCGGGUUGUAAAGCACUUUUAUCGGGAACGAAACAUUGUCGGCCAAUACCCGGCAAGACUGACGGUACCCGAGGAAUAAGCACCGACUAACUCCGUGCCAGCAGCCGCGGUAAUACGGAGGGUGCAAGCGUUAAUUGGAAUUACUGGGCGUAAAGCGUGCGCAGGCGGUUUGUUAAGUCUGCUGUGAAAUCCCCGAGCUCAACUUGGGAAUUGCAGUGGAUACUGGCAAGCUGGAGUACGGUAGAGGACGGUGGAAUUCCCGGUGUAGCAGUGAAAUGCGUAGAGAUCGGGAGGAACACCAGUGGCGAAGGCGGCCUUCUGGACCAGUACUGACGCUCAUGCACGAAAGCGUGGGGAGCGAACA
This 427-nucleotide ribosomal RNA is filed under the name uncultured bacterium. Its description in RNAcentral is "bacterial SSU rRNA". It matches the Rfam family "Bacterial small subunit ribosomal RNA", at positions 355 to 774 of the family's 1533-position model. The record is from RNAcentral.